UUGACACAUCCCUGCCAAUCUCCGGCAGACCCUCCCUCCCAGACCCUCCCACCUCCUGGACAGCAUCCAUGUUGAAGCUGCCUUCAACAUGGAUGCUGUCCAGGAAGUAGGAGGGUCUGGGAGGGAGGGUCUGCCGGAGAUUGGCAGGGCUGUGUCAG
Molecule: non-coding RNA, 158 nt
Organism: Pelobates cultripes (western spadefoot toad)
Lineage: Eukaryota; Metazoa; Chordata; Amphibia; Anura; Pelobatidae
Source: the annotation of a GenBank genome assembly